AUGUACGGUUUCUCUCCGCCGAGCCGCGACGUCGCCCCUCCGCCGUGGGUUCGCCGCAAAGACCUGCUCCUCCACGUCGACCUCGUCGAAGAUUGGACUCCGCUGUCCCCGCGCUCCUCCUCCUCCCCGCAGAGCGGCAUUCCUUCAUCCGAGUCGAAGGGCGACACCAGGCCCUUCCCUGCAGUCUACCCUGGUACCUGGGUGAUGAAGAUCGAAGAUGGUCAGGCCCCUGACGACCAAGGCCGUGCGCAUCGCCCCGGGCCUGGCGUGGCCAACACUGGCUGCCACGGCAUGCCUUUCGGCGGCCACAGACGCAGCCACGACGGCGACGAUGGAGGGGGCCGGCGCUCCUGGAAAGACACCCUCCUGGGGCGUGGGCGCUCCUCCCGUGAAGUUUCUGCGGCGGCGCAACCCCAGCAAAGUCAGCAACGCCAGCGUAGCCGCAUGCCCACCAGCCGGCACAACCAGCACCGCCACAACGUCUCCAAGAACAAGCAUGCCCCAUUCGCACACACCCAGGCUGAGGCUGCCGGACACGCUUCCCCAGAUCCGGUGGCAGCCUUUUCUGAAGAUGCAACGGUGCUGGCACCGCCUCCACCGCCCGCCCCUGCUGCGGUGAACGACGUCGACAUUGCGGCCGCGGAGGCAACGGCCGAGCCUCUCUGCUUCCCCGACAGCCAGAGCGACCACAACCCCAUGCCUGCUGCUGCUCUUUCCUCCCGGGCCUGCCGUGCACCUGCACCAUCCACUUCUGUUGGUGUGCAGGUGGGCGCGGUCACCCAGAGGGUUCAGCAGCUGGACAUCCAAGAGCAGGAUGGUACUGCGACCCCUCGUCAUCUCUUCACCGAUGUCCUAGCGCCCAUCCUGCCUCCACCACGUCCAUCUGCCCCGAAGAAGACGCGGACUGCCUCUGCCCCGGUGCGGCAGAGCGCCCGCCAGGCCAGCAACCGCACGGAGGUGCCCGUGGCACACCGUGCUACGCUCCGCAUCAUCCGCGACCUCGGGCUGCUGGGGCCAAACGACAAGAUGACCCCGAAGGCGGCGGACGCCCUGAUCAAGAAGUUUGACGAGCCCCUCACUGAAGACGACAUCAUUGGCCCUGCAAAGCUCACGCGCCAGGACCCUGCGGCUCUCCGCGUUACCGCCGGCCUCGCUGGCCCUGAUGGAGCUCCCCUUGGGGAGGUAGCUUAG
Molecule: ribosomal RNA, 1191 nt
Filed under: Triticum aestivum (bread wheat)
Lineage: Eukaryota; Viridiplantae; Streptophyta; Magnoliopsida; Poales; Poaceae
Description: partial small subunit ribosomal RNA
Source: RNAcentral